GUUCUCUUAUUGGCCUAUACUCAUUCGUUGGGUUUGGUGCUAAAACCAGAAAUUGUUCUUCUUAAACAAUUGGAUUAUAUUCAAAUAUACAUACCUUAUAGUAACAUAAAAAGAGAAGGCUUUAUUGAGCAGUGAAAAGAUGAAGACUACUGCAGAAGACUCCAAAUUAUUAUUUAGCACCUCUUUGCUUUUAGUGAUCUCAUCUCAGUGUGUGGCAGAAACACCAAGAGCUCAAUGUGGUGGAGGCAUUAUAAUAAAUCCAGGAUUUGAUCACAGCAUAGAUGGACUUACGAAAGGAAUGCUAUGCAGCUUUACUGCUUGGUUUCAGCUCAGUGAAAGAAGGACAGUGUGUCAGUUACAUUUAAAACGAAUGCAACUGAGCUGAUUUGAGGAGGUCACGCGAUAGCAAAGCAUGGAUCCUGGACUCUGCUAAAAGGUGGCAUAAUUGCCAACCACUUAAGCCCUGCUGAGAUUCUUUUUGAGGUGAAGUGAAAUACUUUCUAGACUUAAUACCUGCAUGUUUCUCAGUUUUAAGAACAUGAAAAAAAUAG
Long non-coding RNA from Arachis duranensis, 551 nucleotides. RefSeq lists it as uncharacterized. The transcript has 3 exons. NCBI's taxonomy places the organism in Eukaryota, Viridiplantae, Streptophyta, Magnoliopsida, Fabales, Fabaceae. The record is from RefSeq and is a predicted model, not a curated record.